Molecule: RNA transcript, 3752 nt
Organism: Ipomoea triloba (trilobed morning glory)
Lineage: Eukaryota; Viridiplantae; Streptophyta; Magnoliopsida; Solanales; Convolvulaceae
Gene name: putative late blight resistance protein homolog R1A-4
Exons: 4
Source: RefSeq, a predicted model, not a curated record
CAUAGAGAGAGAGAGAGAGAAAUGGCUUGUGUUCCUCUAACUUCUCUGAUGAAUACAAUCCAGUUUGAGUUCUUAAAACCCAGACCACCUGUGAUUCUUGAUGAAGAUACAGCACGUAUGAUGAAUUCUCUCUACCAGAAUGUUGGUUUCUUGCUCGCCUUUCUUGAGGAAUUCGAGAAGAAACCAGGAAAUGAUGAUGCUGCAAUCAAAGAUUUGGAAGCCAAAAUCAGGGACUUGGCUCAUUCAGCAGAAGACGGAAUCGAAUCAAAUCUGACAAACAUUUACAUGGAGGCGGGGGCAGCUAAAGAUAAAGAUAUGAUGCUCUGUCAGAACCUACGACAAGUAGCCAACGACACUCACCAGUUUGUUAACAGAAUUAAACGAGAAUACUAUGAUUCUACCGUCCAAGAUUCGCCAAAGGUACAUACCCUUUCGUCAGAUCUUGAGAGCAUUUCGUUGAGCGAAUCUUCACAGCUGUUCUCAAAGCCAAAGGUUGGGCAUAGCAGUUUUAAUUUGCUUACAACGAAUUGCACUGCAUGGAUGAAAUACAUUAUAUUCACGGUAAUAAUGUUACCAAAAAUUAUAUUUAAUUUGUGUGUAAGUAAAUUGAGCAUUUGGUUAGGCAAAUCUCCAAAGCCAAAGGUGGAGGGCAGAAUGGUUGGGCAUAGCAGUGAACUGAAUACAAUAAAGGAUCAGCUCACUCGUCACCCAUUUGGAGAACGAAAAGUCAUUUCAAUUCUUGGAAUGGGUGGUAUCGGCAAGACAACUUUAGCAAGGAGACUCUAUGAAGAUCCAUCAGUCAUAUCCCACUUUGAAGUUUGCGCAUGGACUACUGUGUCUCAAGAAGUUAAUCUCAGACGCAUACUCUGCGACCUUCUUCUUCAGUCCUUUAGCUUCUCCUCCACCCAAGUGAAUACUAAUGGAAGCACAGGUGAACUGGCCCAACAAUUGCAGAGGCGUUUGAAGUGUACGAGGUAUCUGGUCGUGGUGGAUGACGUAUGGGAAACCAGUGUUUGGGAUUAUCUCACCAGAUGUUUUCCUGAAAGUGGUGGUAGUAGAGUAUUGCUGACCACUCAGCUAAAAGAAAUUGCUGACUACACUACUACUUCAGGUACCUAUCUUCAUAACUUGCAUUUUCUAGAUUCUAACCAGAGUUGGGAUCUAUUCUGCAAUAACGUUUUCUGCAAACAACCCUUGCCUUCCGAAUUUGAGACAAUUGGAAGGAACAUUGUUGACAAGUGUAGAGGGUUACCCCUCGCGAUUGUUGUAGUUGCUGGACUUGUAUCCAAACUCAACAACACACUUGAUGAUUGGAAAAAUGUUGAGAGAGAAAUAAGUUGUCUUGCUAGUACAGAUCUUGGUGAACAGUGUUCAAGAAUACUGAAUUUAAGCUACAACCACUUACCUCAGCAUUUGAAAGCUUGCUUUUUGUAUUUAGGAGUUUUCUAUGAAAAUAGUGAAAUUCCUGUUAAAAAGCUUGUUAGGCUUUGGGUGGCAGAGGGGUUUGUGAAGUUAGUGAGUGAUAAGAGAUUGGAGGAAGUGGGUGUUGAGUAUUUACAAGACCUUGUUAGUAGAAGUUUAGUCCUAAUUCACAAGUGUAAACCUAACGGCCAAAUCAAGACAUGUAGGAUGCAUAAUCUCCUGCAUGGGCUUUGCAUAAGAGAAGCUAGAAAGCUAAACCUUUUGUACAUUAAAGACGAUGGUUAUGAUCAUGUUGGUGCUUGUCGUUGGCUAAGUUUUAGAUCACCAAAGCCCAAGAAUUAUGAUAUAAUUCGCAACAAUUACAAAAAAGCUCGUUCUGUUUUGUGCUUGUAUAAUGAUGAUGAGAUAGCAAUGGUGAAUGAUCCAAAGCCUGUAAGGUUCAGCUUGUUAAGAGUUCUUGAUUUAACUUCUCCUUUGUACACCAAGGGAGUUUAUGUGCCUUUCACAGAUCUUUCUGAUCUAGUUCUUCUAAAAUACCUUGCUUGGUUUGUGGGCUCGGAGGGUCUCGAGAUCAUACUGUCUAAGAAUCAGAAACUGCAGACGUUGCUUGUUUCGCAUAGUGCAGCUGAGUGGGAAGAGGACUCUUCCCUUUUGCCAUCCACAAUUUGGGGGUCACCACAAUUAAGGCAUCUCGAAUUCAAAAACUCUUUGAGGGUGGAGCCUCCAAGCAUGGUGAAAGAGAAGUUGCAAACUUUGUAUUGGUUGAGCAUAUCGCAUUGCACGGAAGAAGUGUUCUCUAUGAUUCCAAACAUAAACACAUUGGGGAUCCUUUGUAAGCGUGGAUCCAUAUCUCAUAGUAAUGGUACUUAUAGUUUGAAGUUUCUUCAGUGUUUGGAUCAGCUCGAGGAUUUAACCAUUGAAUCUGACUAUCCCAUUUUUGAGCAUUUGCCCCCUCGAUGUAUUGAUGUGUUUCCCCGCAAGCUUAGGAAGCUAAAACUAAGUGGAACUCAUUUACCACUUGAAGAUAUAGAAGCAAUUGCUUUGUUGCCUAGCCUCGAGGUGUUAAAACUUAAAACGGAUUCUCUUCUUGGACCUGAGUAGAAACCAACUUAUGGGGGAUUCCCGAGUUUAAAGUUUUUGCUGCUCCAACAUAAGAAACUCAAACAUUGGAAUGACUUUGAUGAUGAGUUUCCCAUACUUGAGCGUCUAGUCCUAAAGGAAUGUGCAAGAUUGGACCAGAUCCCAAUUACUUUCUCAAACAUUAAUUCUCUCCAAUCAAUUGAAUUAGAAAGGUGUCGCCCUGCCCUUUUGCUUUCUGCCAAGAAAAUCAAACAAGAACAGCUCAACUAUGGAAAUGAUGCUCUUCUUGUUAUUGACCGCACUCCUCAGUAUACUGCAACGCAUUAUACUGUUGUGCAAUCUGUGAAUUUUAGCAAGGAACACAUAUCCAGGCGGGGAUGGUUUUAUGAUGAUGACGAUUCCCACCUCCAAAAGAGCUCAAGAACAGAAUUUCGUUCUACAUGGGAGCUCUUCACUUGUAUGAUCGAGCAAAGGAAUAUUGAUGAACACAUAUGUACAUUGCCAUUUUGUGUGCUUCCAAGGACACUUCAUUCUUCAACUCCAUGAUUGUCAUGGGAAAGAAGAUGAAGUUGACUUUGAGUGUGUGCUAUGAAUUGUGAAAGUUUUGAACUAGUUUGCAUAUCUUGAGUGGUAUUGUGAGAAUAGGUGAAGUGAAAUGUUGCAUGUAUGUGAGAAAAUGAUGAUAAUGUUGAGUUCUUAUAAAAAAUGUGAAGUGUUAAAAAAUUAAGAGUGUGAGAUCUCUUGGAAAAAUAUACUGGAAUUUCCUUGUGUUAUGUUGCAAACCUUGUGUGUUGUAAGAAAUGAGGCCACGAAAAACAAUUUUGCUUCGGAAAUAGAAGAGAACCGACAAUGAAAGGGCACAAGGAGAAGGGCCUAGCAAUCUUGAACCGAAGGAAGAAGUUGCAAGGGCUAGAACAAGGUAUAGAGAGAUCAUCAUGAACACCCGAAUGAAGGAUAGGUAUCAAUACCUCUCACAUAAGCCCAUAACCCGGUGGAAUUACAUUAACUUAGCCUCACUAGACACAUUCGAAUGCCGAAGGGGGGUAGAACGCCUAAUUCAUCAACCAUAUUGGGAGGUCAUUUUCAGAUGGUAGUAUCCUACCUACACCCUGGUAGUCCACGAAUUGGUUGCUAGUUUAGAAUUUAUGGGAAGAAUUGGGGAUUUGUAAGCCCAACUAUGAAGUUUCGCCUCUUCAACAAUGUGUUGUGGGCACGGGAAUCAAUAAUUGGCUAUUGGAAUAUUUUAGAAU